RNAcentral lists this ribosomal RNA (460 nucleotides) under uncultured bacterium. Its description in RNAcentral is "partial 16S ribosomal RNA". It matches the Rfam family "Bacterial small subunit ribosomal RNA", at positions 338 to 795 of the family's 1533-position model. The record is from RNAcentral.
CCUACGGGUGGCAGCAGUGAGGAAUAUUGGUCAAUGGUCGGAAGACUGAACCAGCCAUGCCGCGUGCAGGAAGACGGUUCAGAGAGUUGUAAACUGCUUUUGUACAAGAGUAAACCUGAAGACGUGUAUUCAGCUGAGAGUACUGUACGAAUAAGGAUCGGCUAACUCCGUGCCAGCAGCCGCGGUAAUACGGAGGAUCCAAGAGUUAUCCGGAUUUAUUGGGUUUAAAGGGUGCGUAGGCGGAUUGAUAAGUUAGAGGUGAAAUGUCCGAGCUUAACUCGGGAACUGCCUUUAAUACUGUUGAUCUAGAGAGUAGAUGCGGUAGGCGGAAUGUACGGUGUAGCGGUGAAAUGCUUAGAGAUCAUACAGAACACCGAUUGCGAAGGCAGCUUACCAAUCUAUAUCUGACGUUGAGGCACGAAAGCGUGGGGAGCAAACAGGAUUAGAUACCCGUGUAGUC